AUACGUAGGUGGCAAGCGUUGUCCGGAUUUACUGGGCGUAAAGGGCGUGUAGGCGGUCUUGCAAGUCAGAAGUGAAAUUCCUGAGCUCGACUCGGGCGCUGCUUCUGAAACUGCAGGACUUGAGUGCUGGAGGGGAUAGCGGAAUUCCUAGUGGAGCGGUAAAAUGCGCAGAUAUUAGGAGGAACACCAGUGGCGAAGGCGGCCUGCUGGACGACAACUGACGCUGAGGCGCGAAAGCGUGGGGAGCAAACAGGAUUAGAUACCCUGGUAGUCCACGCUGUAAACGAUGAAUACUAGGUGUGGGGGGACUGACCCCUUCCGUGCCGGAGUAAACACAAUAAGUAUUCCACCUGGGGAGUACGGCCGCAAGGUUGAAACUCAAAUGAAUUGACGGG
RNAcentral lists this ribosomal RNA (395 nucleotides) under uncultured bacterium. RNAcentral describes it as "partial 16S ribosomal RNA". It matches the Rfam family "Bacterial small subunit ribosomal RNA", at positions 523 to 917 of the family's 1533-position model. The record is from RNAcentral.